Molecule: non-coding RNA, 79 nt
Organism: Podarcis lilfordi (Lilford's wall lizard)
Lineage: Eukaryota; Metazoa; Chordata; Lepidosauria; Squamata; Lacertidae
Source: the annotation of a GenBank genome assembly
GCUGGGAGAGCUCAGUUUGUAGAGCAUGAGACUCUUAAUCUCAAAGUCGUGGGUUCGAGCCCCACAAAAGCUUCCUGCA